Molecule: ribosomal RNA, 486 nt
Filed under: uncultured bacterium
Lineage: Bacteria
Description: partial 16S ribosomal RNA
Rfam family: Bacterial small subunit ribosomal RNA
Source: RNAcentral
GCCUAACACAUGCAAGUCGAGCGGCAGCAUGCUUAGUAGCAAUACUAAGUGAUGGCGAGCGGCGGACGGGUGAGGAACACGUAGGAACCUGCCCAAGAGAGGGGGACAACCAAUGGAAACGUUGGCUAAUACCGCAUAAUCUCUUAGGAGAAAAGUUGCCCGUAAGGGUAGCGCUUUUGGAGGGGCCUGCGUCCGAUUAGCUAGUUGGUGAGGUAAUAGCUCACCAAGGCGAUGAGCGGUAACUGGUCUGAGAGGACGACCAGUCACACUGGGACUGAGACACGGCCGAGAAGCCUACGGGAGGCAGCAGAGGGGAAUCUUGGACAAUAGGGGCAACCCUGAUCCAGCGAUGCCGCGUGGGUGAAGAAGCCCCUCGGGUUGUAAAGCCCUUUAGGCUGGGACGAAGGGUAUGGGACGAAUAAUCCUGUACUUUGACGGUACCAGCAGAAUAAGCACCGGCAAACUCUGUGCCAGCAGCCGCCGUAA